Molecule: long non-coding RNA, 418 nt
Filed under: Mytilus galloprovincialis (Mediterranean mussel)
Lineage: Eukaryota; Metazoa; Mollusca; Bivalvia; Mytilida; Mytilidae
Source: RNAcentral
CCGGCUACUUGUACAUUUAGUAAUUUAUAUUUAUUUGUACAAACCAACAGCAUACUGACUUGUCUGAAAGGCUACUAAAAAGUACUGAAUUGACUAUAAUCGAAUUGUUUGAACGAAUUUUCCGCAGUAGAUAAGUCUAAAAACUGGCUGAAAGAUUAAACAUGACUCAAUAAUUAAUCGUUCUGACUUUUCAUAUGAUGUUGAGAUCAAAAUGAAUGUUUUAAACUAUAAUCCAUUUACCAGUGUUUUGCGUUAUAGAACAACUACUCUCUUUGUAUAACCUAUCAGAAGUUCUGUUUAAAAUUUAUUUUAACUUUGAAGCAGCAAUUAACUCACUGUGGAGUUAGAAUUAUUGCUUGUAAUUUUCAAAAUAGAAGAUCUGUCUUCAAAGCCAGCAAUACUCCGUGAUCAACUUUUA